GAAGAGCCUAUGACCAGAAAC
RNAcentral lists this non-coding RNA (21 nucleotides) under Rattus norvegicus (Norway rat). Lineage: Eukaryota; Metazoa; Chordata; Mammalia; Rodentia; Muridae. The record is from RNAcentral.